GAUGAACGCUGGCGGCGUGCCUAAUACAUGCAAGUAGAACGCUGAAGCUUGGUGCUUGCACCGAGCGGAUGAGUUGCGAACGGGUGAGUAACGCGUAGGUAACCUGCCUCUUAGCGGGGGAUAACUAUUGGAAACGAUAGCUAAUACCGCAUAAAAGUCGAUAUCGCAUGAUAUUGAUUUGAAAGUUGCAAAUGCAUCACUAAGAGAUGGACCUGCGUUGUAUUAGCUAGUUGGUGAGGUAACGGCUCACCAAGGCGACGAUACAUAGCCGACCUGAGAGGGUGAUCGGCCACACUGGGACUGAGACACGGCCCAGACUCCUACGGGAGGCAGCAGUAGGGAAUCUUCGGCAAUGGGGGCAACCCUGACCGAGCAACGCCGCGUGAGUGAAGAAGGUUUUCGGAUCGUAAAGCUCUGUUGUAAGAGAAGAACGAGUGUGAGAGUGGAAAGUUCACACUGUGACGGUAACUUACCAGAAAGGGACGGCUAACUACGUG
Molecule: ribosomal RNA, 497 nt
Filed under: uncultured bacterium
Lineage: Bacteria
Description: partial 16S ribosomal RNA
Rfam family: Bacterial small subunit ribosomal RNA
Source: RNAcentral